This 211-nucleotide unclassified non-coding RNA is filed under the name uncultured Pezizales. RNAcentral's name for it is "sequence contains ITS2". Lineage: Eukaryota; Fungi; Ascomycota; Pezizomycetes; Pezizales. The record is from RNAcentral.
ACAACCGUUUCAAUCCCUUUUAUAAUAUAUUGAAGGGCUUGGUUGUGGUGGACGAGGUGAUGUAAACACUUGUUGAAUUACCUCCCCACCGAAAUUCAGAGGCAGUCCAUCCCCAUGUCGUUGUGGCGUUGUAAAAGCUCUUCAGCAAUUUUCGCUUGCAAUCAUGGGCUUUAUAUGGUGCUUGCCAUUUGAAAAUCCCCCAUAUAUCAAA